This is a long non-coding RNA of Pipistrellus kuhlii (Kuhl's pipistrelle), 535 nucleotides long. RefSeq lists it as uncharacterized. The record is from RefSeq and is a predicted model, not a curated record. The transcript is spliced from 2 exons. NCBI's taxonomy places the organism in Eukaryota, Metazoa, Chordata, Mammalia, Chiroptera, Vespertilionidae.
UGUGAUCACCAUAUGGACUCAAGUCUUCCAUGAUUCCUUGCCUCCGUGCUGUCUUCUCUUCCUCUGUUUUCACCACUGGCUACCUUACAACGGUCUAGAAUAGAAAUAUUUUCACACUUGACUCCAUCACGAUGCCUUCAUGCUCUCGCACAGCAGCGGAGCCAUGCUAGGGAAGCACUGCUUUUCUCCUCCCUUCCCCCUGAUGGCGGGGGGUGGGACAGAAAGAGUGAAACACUUCAUUAUUUUGUUAGCUGUUGAAAUCUUGAGAGUGACAUCUUGUUUAUUUUUGCAAUCCCCUAUUGUUUGUGUGUUGGAAGCAAAGAAAGGGCGCAAAAACAACUUCCGAACUUGUCCUGAGCUUAAUACCUUUGCUCCCGCUGGAUAAAAGUUGGGUAAACAGACACCUUGACAACUGCUAACAGUACCACACCUUGGCUUUGCUAGGCACAGAAGGGAGUCAUUUAUUUCGGGGUGAAACACCUGUCCCACCUGAAAGAUGCAGCUCACAAUUCCAAUAAAAUAUGUUGUCAUUGAA